AACCAUUCUCACCUGCGGCUAGACCUGCGGAAGGAUCAUUACCGAGUUUACAACUCCCAAACCCAUGUGAACAUACCUAUCGUUGCUUCGGCGGGAUCGCCCCGGGCGCCUCGUGUGCCCCGGAUCCGGCGCCCGCCUAGGAACCUUAACUCUUGUUUUAUUUUGGAAUCUUCUGAGUAGUUUUUACAAAUAAAUAAAAACUUUUAACAAUGGAUCU
This 217-nucleotide unclassified non-coding RNA is filed under the name soil metagenome. RNAcentral's name for it is "partial contains 5.8S ribosomal RNA, internal transcribed spacer 2, and large subunit ribosomal RNA". The record is from RNAcentral.